GGGGUUUCUAAAAAAACUGCAGAAGAAAAAAAAGGAAAAAAAAAGCAUUCUUCUCUCAACUCCCCCUAUCGUCGGCCGAAUGGGCCACCGUCGACCCCGCCGUGAGCGGUGGUCAGAAGACCAAACGUCGGGUUUUAAACCCUGCUUCGAGGACCAACUGAAGACCAAGUCUUCAUGGCCUCGGGGUCGCGAGAGAAAAAUCAAAUCGCCGCCCUCCCCGC
This 221-nucleotide long non-coding RNA is filed under the name Gossypium raimondii (Peruvian cotton). RNAcentral's name for it is "long non-coding RNA (GRAI_LNC010664)". The record is from RNAcentral. Lineage: Eukaryota; Viridiplantae; Streptophyta; Magnoliopsida; Malvales; Malvaceae.